UACGGAGGGUGCAAGCGUUUAUCCGGAUUCACUGGGUUUAAAGGGUGCGUAGGUGGGCAGGUAAGUCAGUGGUGAAAUCUCUGGGCUUAACCCGGAACUGCCGUUGAUACUAUCUGUCUUGAAUGUAGUGGAGGUGAGCGGAAUAUGUCAUGUAGCGGAUGAAAUGCUUAGAUAUGACAUAGAACAUCGAUUGCGAAGGCAGCUCGCUACACUAUGAUUGACACUGAGGCACGAAAGCGUGGGGAUCAAACAGG
RNAcentral lists this ribosomal RNA (254 nucleotides) under uncultured bacterium. Its description in RNAcentral is "partial 16S ribosomal RNA". It matches the Rfam family "Bacterial small subunit ribosomal RNA", at positions 524 to 776 of the family's 1533-position model. The record is from RNAcentral.